Molecule: long non-coding RNA, 560 nt
Organism: Magallana angulata
Lineage: Eukaryota; Metazoa; Mollusca; Bivalvia; Ostreida; Ostreidae
Exons: 5
Source: RefSeq, a predicted model, not a curated record
CACACACCAUAUAGCGUUUCCAGUAGACGCCAUUUUUUCAAAGGACGAUAACUCCAAUAUACAGUAAAAUUGUGCAAAAUCGGCCAUCUUGACCACAUCGGAUGACAACGUCAGAUUGUUGAUAUUGAAUUUGUUCACUAUAUAGUACAUCAUUGGAUUUGAUCACAGUAUUUACGAUACCCUUGUUUAUCCUGUGGACUUUUUCUGAUGUUCAUGUGCAUGUGAACAUUUAUACAGUUGUACAACUAUAUUAAGGUCCAGUAUUGGCAAGACGAUUGUGAAAGAGACGAAGAUUUAUAUGAAUUGACAGAGCAAGAAUUCAAAUCAGACUUAAGAGAAGGAAAUUUAUUCAUAAUAUAUAACACUGAUCUAGACCACUGCUACGGUAUACCUUGAAACAGACUAUAAAGGUAGAGUGAUCUUUUCCUUAAAUUGAGUUGUCCUUCCUUUCAACUAAAAGUUUCAUAUUUCUCUUUGGAUUACCUCCCUUUGUGUUGAACUAUUGUUUAUUACACUUUUAUAAUAAAAUUAAUUUCUGAUCAUUAUGUUUAUGAAAAUGU